UACGUAGGGUGCAAGCGUUAAUCGGAAUUACUGGGCGUAAAGCGUGCGCAGGCGGCUUUGCAAGUCAGAUGUGAAAUCCCCGGGCUUAACCUGGGAACUGCAUUUGUGACUGCAUGGCUGGAGUGCGGCAGAGGGGGAUGGAAUUCCGCGUGUAGCAGUGAAAUGCGUAGAUAUGCGGAGGAACACCGAUGGCGAAGGCAAUCCCCUGGGCCUGCACUGACGCUCAUGCACGGAAGCGUGGGGAGCAAACAGG
RNAcentral lists this ribosomal RNA (253 nucleotides) under uncultured bacterium. RNAcentral's name for it is "partial 16S ribosomal RNA". It matches the Rfam family "Bacterial small subunit ribosomal RNA", at positions 524 to 776 of the family's 1533-position model. The record is from RNAcentral.